This is a long non-coding RNA of Lathyrus oleraceus (garden pea), 905 nucleotides long. RefSeq lists it as uncharacterized. Lineage: Eukaryota; Viridiplantae; Streptophyta; Magnoliopsida; Fabales; Fabaceae. The transcript has 2 exons. The record is from RefSeq and is a predicted model, not a curated record.
AAAAGUAAUAAAAGCUUCUCUUGAGAUCUCUCUCACGGACCACACAUUCUUCUUCCUCACUUCCAACCCCAACGCACAACCAUCAUCCUCCUUUAAACCACACAUGACCUUUGUGAUGUCGCCGCUCAACCAUCCACCGUGAACAGCCACAACAAUAAACAGAACCACGCACGUCGUUCGUCCUUCACCGCACCACAGUGAAUCCGCUCAUUUCCAUUCGCAACUGCACCACCACUCAUAACCAAACAACUUCGACAACCACCUAAUCUGUCUUCUCACCCCUAAUCUUCUUCCACACUGUCGAACAACAACCACUUCCGGCCACGAAUACCACUGCCACUAACCGCCAGAACACCACCAGAAGCGUCCUCCUUCUACCAUCGCCAUCCACCAAUCUCACAAACGGGUUCCCACAUAUCAAGGUUUCUUUGCUAGCAUCUGCAGUGGUGCUUCCGUCGCUCUUCUGCACGCCGCCAUGUUCGAGUCAAAAAGAAGGCAGCAGAAAACAUCAACAAACCGUCACAAAUCAUUGCUCCCGGCUUUCCAUUUCAAUUCGUACCAAGGCUUCGCAAUGUCGAUACAGCAGCAACCAACGUAACAACAACUCCUUAUACAACUCGGUAACAUUGUCGACUAUACGGCAACGGUAACGAUUCAAUGAUGUUGGAAUCAAUUUCACUCACGGCACGGUGGUGAUUAACCGUUUGUUGUCCCAUUAAUGUUUGCUUCUGUUCCAAUUUUUUUUUGAAAAUCUAAGAAUGAUAUGUUACUGUUUUGGGUAUUUGGAAUAUUUUAAAAUAAGGUUUGUAAAUAAUCAUUUUCAAUUGCUACUCUUAAAUCUUUCCACUUUCAUUGUGUUUAGUCAUGAGCUUUUGGAAUCAUAUGUUGGACGUUCAUUGUGUUUA